Molecule: non-coding RNA, 23 nt
Filed under: Arabidopsis thaliana (thale cress)
Lineage: Eukaryota; Viridiplantae; Streptophyta; Magnoliopsida; Brassicales; Brassicaceae
Source: RNAcentral
GGCAAUUCACAGUAGUUUGCAGG